CGGGCAGGGGGGCGGCUGCCCCGGGCCUGUGCGGAGCCUGCCCUGCCACAGCCCCUUUCUCCUUGGGAGGCGCGCUCCUCCGGGAGCGGCUGCUUGCUGCGGAUGUUGGGCAACAGGCAGCGCUAGAAAGGGACCAGAGAUUCCGGGGUGGGCCCGUCUCCACAUCCUUCCCCUCAGGCCUGUGCCCCACUCCCUAGAGCAGGGACCCUGCUCCCUUCCUGCCUCCUGACAAGGCGCUGGCGCCUGAGGGUGCGACCUGCACAGCUGGUUAAGGGUCCUGUGCAUGUGCUUGACCCCCACCUCCUAGUGUGAGUCAGGUUUUGGCCUUGGGGCUCGUCCUUUCCAGUCUUUCCAUUCUUGUCCUCCAUCAUCCCCCCCCCCAACCUUAUCCAGCCCGAAAUCUCUUGGGGAGUUGAAGGGAGGAGGUCCAUUUUCAGGAGCUGCUCCCUGCUGGAGUGGCAUGUAGAGCUGGCCCUGCCUCCAAGGGCCCGGGAGAUGGUCUCCCUGACACUCGUCCCUGAGCUGCUUGUUGGUGGUGAUACCGGAAUUGUCAGGUCUAGUCUCCCAGCCAGGAAUGGAUUCCAGGCUGCAGGGCAGCGCUAAGCCCCAGCCACUAGACCCCCCACGGGUUGGUGUCUCAGGAAGCUGCAGCAGGAACUUCGCAGACGCUCAGGCAAGCAAGCGAGAAGAGGCAGGUUCUUUAUAGAAAGAAAAAGUUUAUUGAGGAGAAAAGGAGCAGAAAUAAAGCUGGACUCCCAGGCCAGGGAACCAGGACAGGGAGGGGCAAGGAAGCCCAUGUGGAGUCGUGUCUCAGGGAAUAUAGACCUUUUUUCCCUCAUUAUUCUAAAGCUUCACCCGUCUCUCUGUGAUGGGUCAGUUCUCGGCUGUCUCACUUCAUCUGCUACUGAGCGGGGAUCUUCACAUUCCUUACCUAACAGCUUUCUCUUUCCCCAUUUGUUGCAUCUUUAAAUUUAUGGCCCAGUCCUCUGGAUGGGCUUCCCUGCAUUGAAGCUAAACAGCUGCCCUUCUAAUGUGUCCAUAAAUUAAACCACUCUCCAUUUCUCCAAUCUCCACCUCCCUUUACCACCAGGACUAGCAUUAACAAUGUUGUCCUUGGUCCUGGGAUGUUUGUUUUUCCUAGUGGAAUGGGUUACAUUCCCUUGGUUGUCCUUAUCUCUGAAGUCUCCCUAAAUUCUUCUGAGGUCCCCUCCUGCACUGUCCCUAAAACUACCUAAUUUCUAGCUUGCCCUGUGUCUCAGUGGUUCUGGAAGGAGGCGAGGGUGGGGCAUCUGGACAGGCUGUUCCUCUUGUAGGGGUGAGCUGUUUGUUGGGAGGAGGAGUUUAACCUUGAGGCGCUCCCCCUCGGUUAGAAGAAACAAAUUUGAGUAGGAGAUUGUGUAUGUUACUAUUUGAAGAGGAGAAUGAGAAGUACAGCAGAGGCUAAGGGCCCUCGGUCACAGAGAUGUGCCCAUCGAAUUCUCACACAAGGAGCAGGAGGGCCUGGACCAGCUGCAGUGGAAUUUGUACAGGGACGUGAUGCUAGAGACCUACAGAAAUGUGGUGUCCUUGGGUCUUCUGUGUUUACGCCCGAGCUGGUCAUCUUGUUGGAGCAAAAAAAUGGAGCCAUGGGAUGUGAAGAGAAGUGCAGAUCCCGUCCUCCUCCCAGCACCAGUUACAGUCAGAAGCACGGGAGGGUGAGAAUUCACCAGAACAAGAGCGGAGAACAGAACAAGCAGACUGACAAAGAACACUGCUGAGGGGAGCAGCGGGCGCCAUGAGAGGUCUGCGCACCAUGUGGGACCCUCGCUGGCGACUGGAGAUCUAACCGGUGCUGCAGAGGCUGCGGGCAGCUUUGCGACCCAGCGCUCAACUGCUGCGCCACUGCAGAUGCAGUAUUCUCAGCCAUUUUAUACCCCAUUUCCAACCUACUGCAUCACUGUAUAUUUUUUGACCUUUUCUUAUAUGCUUUAAUUCCUCUCUCUUUUCUUGUUGGUGAUUUCCCUCCACUUUCACACAUUUUGAUGUUAAUGGAGGUAUAUUGGUUUGUAAUGUUAUUUACAAACAUUGUAAAGCAUUGUCAUCCAACCUUUGUACACAUCACAUCAGUCUCUGUUUUCAUUUGUUUUCCAUGUAUUUUACGGUAUCUUUUUCUCAUGGGGAUUCCAUAGCAUGUUGAAAAGUUAUGACAGUCUUUUCUAAAGUGAAAACCAUGUACAUUCAGCUGCAUACCAAAACUCCACUCUUUAACAUUUCUACCCCUACUGACAUCACAAAUUAUAUCUCAUGAUAUUUGUAUUCUAUAACAUGAAUCUAUGAUUUUUUUUUUGGUGCCAUAUUUCCAAAUUCUGAAGCAGAAACAAUAUUUUGACUAUAGGGUUAUAUCUGUAUUUGCUAUGUAUUUACCUUUCCCUAAGGACGUUACCUUGCAUAAGCCUGUGUGUUGCUGUCUAGUGCUGAUGUUAUCUAUACAAAGAUGAUGUCGGGGGUCUUUAUAUGGUAUUAAUUUUAUGUCUUAAAUAUUGAAAGUAUUUUGUCUUGAGUGCUGUUUGUGGGCUAGUUAUUCCUCGUUGUCUUCCUGCCCUGUCUUCUCAAGACAACCAGGUCUCCAUGCCACAGUCAGGCACAGAAGAUUUGUUGCUAACUGUGGGACUGGGAAGAGAUGGAAUCGGCACCUUUGAGAAUUUACAAUUAUUGAUAGACCAGACAUGUCAAGAGGCAUGAGAAGGGCAUAAGAGUUGUUGCAAUGAAGAUUCCAUAUCCAUAACUCAAUUCCUCCUGUACAAAGUGAUCCUGUGUGUAAACCAUGUUGGGUCAAACUCCAUUUUAUGUCUGUUGCAGGUAGAGAUAAAUAUGUUUCUGUUAGCAAAGAUCCAUGUGACAUUUUUCACGAGACACAAUCUCUGAGAAGAAUGUGGGAACAUAUGGGAAGUCCCCUAGUCCAUAAUGCAAAUGAUUAUUCAAAACAUUGUCAAUGUGGGAUAGAUUUAAACUUUCAGUGAUGUCAUUGUCAACAUCAGAUAAUUAGAAAGGAAGAUGAAAAAAAUCUAUACAGGAUCCUAUUGAGGAGUCCUCAAUACUUUUCUAGCAUCAUGUACUUCAUGAGAAACUCUACAAUUGUAAAGGAUAUGGCAAAGCUACCAAAUGGUGCCCAAGACUUACUGAACAUCAGAGAGGGAAACCUCACAAGUGAAGAGCAUGGUAAAGCCUUGUAUUGGCAUCCACAGCUGACUAACCAUCUCAGGAUUCAUGCUGGAGAAAAGCCUAUACGCGUUGACUGUAGUAACACCUUCCUGUGCUGUGUCACCUUUCCUGACAUUGGAGAGUUCAUACUGGGGAGAAACCUUACAGAUGUGAGGAAUGUGGGAAAGUCUUUAACCAACUGUCAGCCUUUAACUGUCUUAGUCAGCAUCACAGAAUUCAUACUGAGGAGAAACGUUACAAUUGUGAAGAUUGUGGCAAAGCCUUUAACAAUAAGUCAUGUCUUACUCAGCAUCAUAGAAUUCAUACUGGGGAGAAACCUUCAAGAUGUGAAGAAUGUAGGCAAAGCCUUCUACCAUCCAUCACUUUUAAGUCAACAUCACAGAAUUCAUACUGGGGAGAAACUUUGCAAAUGUGAAGAAUGUGGCAAAGCCUUUCACCGCAAGUCAAGUGUUAAUCUACAUUAGAGAAUUCACAUCAGAGAGAAAGGUUAAAACUGUGAAGUCAAUUUUUUUACUUUAGUCUCUUUUUUUCAAGAUUUAUUUUAUUAUGCAUGCAUGGGGUAUCUUCCAGAGGUGGGGGUGUGUGAGAGGAUUCAUCAGAGGCAGAGUGGGGAACAGAACUGGCGGAUUGACUGAAAUACACUGCUGAGGGGAGCAACAGGCGAGACAGGAGGGGUCUGCUGCACCAUGUGGGUAGCUCCCUCACCGGGAAUCCAGCUCGUACUGCAGUGGCUGCAUAUAGCUUCAUAGGUUGUGUCUUAACCCCUUGUGCCACCAGUGAGGUCCCAACUUUGGUGUCUUUAACCAGAAGUCCAGAAGUUUAACCAGAAGUGUCAAAGUGAUUAACCAGAAGUCAGAUUAUCAUAAACAUCAGAGAGUGCAAAGCAAGAGAAACUGUAAAUGGAAAGUGAUGAGUGGUUUGUCCAAAUAUGAAUUUUGAAACCACCAGAUUUUCAUACUGGAAACUUGAAAGAAGUGAAAAUAUGAUUAAAUGAUUUAUCAUGCAAUUUAGAUGCAUAUUAAGAUAUUGCAAGACAGUAGGAAGUGAGAAACACUUUACAUUCCUUAAGUCAGAAUAUUGUUAUGGAGCAUAAGCCAACAUUAAUGCACUAAAUAUUAGCAUAAUUGAAAAGUCCGAGGCCUUCCUGGUGGUGCAGAGGGUUAAGUCACAGCUCUUUGAAUCUCAGCAGCCACUGCAGCAUGAUUUGGUCCCUGGCCAGGGAGCUGACCACAUGGAACAGCAGACCUCUCUUGACUUACCUGCUGCUCCCCUCAGCAUUGUGUUUCAGUCAAUCUGCUUGUUCUACUCUGCACUCUGUCUUUGGGGAAUCCUCUCACCCCCUACACUUCUGGCCUACCCCUUGGUUCUUGUAUGCAUAAAUAAAUAAAAUCAAUCUUUAAAAAAAUAUAUAAGAGUUCAAGACGAUGGUUUGGGGACCUGUAUAGUUAUUUUCUUUGUCCUUUUUUUUUAUCAACCAUACUUGGGAUAUUGUGAAGAGACCUGAUGAAUAUAAUUCAGCCCUAAAUCACUCCACUCUAUGGCUUUCUCCUGGUAUGUACGUGGAGUCAUGUAUUUGACUUUCGUGGGUCAAACAUCGAAGGGAUCCUGUCCAGUUGAUGAGUUUCUUUACAUCUUAAUUGCUUGGGUACAUUUAUGAUGGUGUCCUGUAUCUUGAAUGAAGAAAAUCUAAAUGGAUCCAGAGGAGUCGUGGACUUCCUUGUGGGCAUAAAAGUUAGACAGAGAAACAUGCUGAAGUUCAACUCAUUUCAUCAUUUUCUCCUUCAGGGAAUAUACUAACAGUUUAUUAAUAUCCUCAUGUGUCUUCAUGGUAGUUAUGGAGCCAUGAAUAUUACUGGACGUUGUUGCCAAAAGAAAUCUUCACAAGCGUGUGAUGAAGGAGCAGGUGAGCUUUUCAUAACAGCGUGGAAUUCUUGUGCAUUCACAUUAGCUAAGCACAGCAUCUUUCUGUUGAACACCGACGCUGUGAUCCAGAUAUCAGAAGGUCAAGAUGCUUCUUAAAUACCUGAGUCUUGAUUUUGAUGAAAUGUGUCUUGGUAUCUGACUGUCUUAUUUAGACUAUAUGUGAACUUCUUAUGUAUA
Talpa occidentalis (Iberian mole) is the source of this 5301-nucleotide long non-coding RNA. RefSeq lists it as uncharacterized. The record is from RefSeq and is a predicted model, not a curated record. Lineage: Eukaryota; Metazoa; Chordata; Mammalia; Eulipotyphla; Talpidae. The transcript has 4 exons.